ACGGCUCACCUAGGCGACGAUACAUAGCCGACCUGAGAGGGUGAUCGGCCACACUGGGACUGAGACACGGCCCAGACUCCUACGGGAGGCAGCAGUAGGGAAUCUUCGGCAAUGGGGGGAACCCUGACCGAGCAACGCCGCGUGAGUGAAGAAGGUUUUCGGAUCGUAAAGCUCUGUUGUUAAGGAAGAACGAGUGUGAGAAUGGAAAGUUCAUACUGUGACGGUACUUAACCAGAAAGGGACGGCUAACUACGUGCCAGCAGCCGCGGUAAUACGUAGGUCCCGAGCGUUGUCCGGAUUUAUUGGGCGUAAAGCGAGCGCAGGCGGUUAGAUAAGUCUGAAGUUAAAGGCAGUGGCUCAACCAUUGUAGGCUUUGGAAACUGUUUAACUUGAGUGCAGAAGGGGAGAGUGGAAUUCCAUGUGUAGCGGUGAAAUGCGUAGAUAUAUGGAGGAACACCGGUGGCGAAAGCGGCUCUCUGGUCUGUAACUGACGCUGAGGCUCGAAAGCGUGGGGAGCGAACAGGAUUAGAUACCCUGGUAGUCCACGCCGUAAACGAUGAGUGCUAGGUGUUAGGUCCUUUCCGGGACUUAGUGCCGCAGCUAACGCAUUAAGCACUCCGCCUGGGGAGUACGACCGCAAGGUGAAACUCAAAGGAAUUGACGGA
Molecule: ribosomal RNA, 665 nt
Filed under: uncultured bacterium
Lineage: Bacteria
Description: bacterial SSU rRNA
Rfam family: Bacterial small subunit ribosomal RNA
Source: RNAcentral